ACAAUGGUACUCCCGCCCAGCCACAGACAUCGCAAUGGGGGCGGCUCGGUCAGAACGACGGAGGCGGUCAGAACGACGGAGGGGUGAGAUUCCCGUGA
This 98-nucleotide non-coding RNA is filed under the name bovine gut metagenome. RNAcentral describes it as "pemK RNA". It matches the Rfam family "pemK RNA". The record is from RNAcentral.